CGGAGAGGGCGCAUGAGAGACGGCCCCUCAUCCAAGGAAGGCAGCAGGCGCGUAAAUUACCCAAUCCUGUCACAGGGAGGUAGUGACAAUAAAUAACAAUGCCGGGCCAUCAUUGGUCUGGCAAUUGGAAUGAGAACAAUUUAAAUCCCUUAUCGAGGAUCAAUUGGAGGGCAAGUCUGGUGCCAGCAGCCGCGGUAAUUCCAGCUCCAAUAGCGUAUAUUAAAGUUGUUGCAGUUAAAAAGCUCGUAGUUGGAUUUGUGGCGUACGAUGUGUUCCGGGCACUUGUUGUCUGAGUAACCUGUUGUUGCCAUCCUUGGGUGGAACCUGUGUGGCAUUAGGUUGUCGUGCAGGGGAUGCCCAUCAUUUACUGUGAAAAAAUUAGAGUGUUCAAAGCAGGCUUAUGCCGUUGAAUAUAUUAGCAUGGAAUAAUGAGAUAGGACUUUUUUGCUAUUUUGUUGGUUUGCGCAAAGAGGUAAUGAUUAAUAGGGACAGUUGGGGGUAUUCGUAUUCCAUUGUCAGAGGUGAAAUUCUUGGAUUUUUGGAAGACGAACUACUGCGAAAGCAUUUACCAAGGAUGUUUUCAUUAAUCAAGAACGAAAGUUAGGGGAUCGAAGAUGAUUAGAUACCAUCGUAGUCUUAACCAUAAACUAUGCCGACAAGGGAUUGGUGGAGUCUCGUUAUGUCUCCAUCAGCACCUUAUGAGAAAUCACAAGUCUUUGGGUUCCGGGGGGAGUAUGGUCGCAAGGCUGAUACUUAAAGAAAUUGACGGAAGGGCACCACCAGGA
Molecule: ribosomal RNA, 785 nt
Filed under: uncultured organism
Description: SSU rRNA
Rfam family: Eukaryotic small subunit ribosomal RNA
Source: RNAcentral